This 254-nucleotide ribosomal RNA is filed under the name uncultured bacterium. RNAcentral's name for it is "partial 16S ribosomal RNA". It matches the Rfam family "Bacterial small subunit ribosomal RNA", at positions 524 to 776 of the family's 1533-position model. The record is from RNAcentral.
UACGGAGGGUGCGAGCGUUGUCCGGAAUCAUUGGGCGUAAAGGGCGCGUAGGUGGCCCGGUCAGUUCGUGGUGAAAGCGCGGGGCUCAACCCUGCGUCGGCCAUGAAUACUGCCGCGGCUGGAGCACUGUAGAGGCAGGCGGAAUUCCAGGUGUAGCGGUGAAAUGCGUAGAUAUCUGGAGGAACACCGGUGGCGAAGGCGGCAUCCUGGACCAACACUGACACUGAGGAGCGAAAGCCAGGGGAGCAAACGGG